This 776-nucleotide ribosomal RNA is filed under the name Bacillus subtilis. RNAcentral's name for it is "bacterial SSU rRNA". It matches the Rfam family "Bacterial small subunit ribosomal RNA", at positions 335 to 1101 of the family's 1533-position model. The record is from RNAcentral. Lineage: Bacteria; Bacillati; Bacillota; Bacilli; Caryophanales; Bacillaceae.
ACUCCUACGGGAGGCAGCAGUAGGGAAUCUUCCGCAAUGGACGAAAGUCUGACGGAGCAACGCCGCGUGAGUGAUGAAGGUUUUCGGAUCGUAAAGCUCUGUUGUUAGGGAAGAACAAGUGCCGUUCAAAUAGGGCGGCACCUUGACGGUACCUAACCAGAAAGCCACGGCUAACUACGUGCCAGCAGCCGCGGUAAUACGUAGGUGGCAAGCGUUGUCCGGAAUUAUUGGGCGUAAAGGGCUCGCAGGCGGUUUCUUAAGUCUGAUGUGAAAGCCCCCGGCUCAACCGGGGAGGGUCAUUGGAAACUGGGGAACUUGAGUGCAGAAGAGGAGAGUGGAAUUCCACGUGUAGCGGUGAAAUGCGUAGAGAUGUGGAGGAACACCAGUGGCGAAGGCGACUCUCUGGUCUGUAACUGACGCUGAGGAGCGAAAGCGUGGGGAGCGAACAGGAUUAGAUACCCUGGUAGUCCACGCCGUAAACGAUGAGUGCUAAGUGUUAGGGGGUUUCCGCCCCUUAGUGCUGCAGCUAACGCAUUAAGCACUCCGCCUGGGGAGUACGGUCGCAAGACUGAAACUCAAAGGAAUUGACGGGGGCCCGCACAAGCGGUGGAGCAUGUGGUUUAAUUCGAAGCAACGCGAAGAACCUUACCAGGUCUUGACAUCCUCUGACAAUCCUAGAGAUAGGACGUCCCCUUCGGGGGCAGAGUGACAGGUGGUGCAUGGUUGUCGUCAGCUCGUGUCGUGAGAUGUUGGGUUAAGUCCCGCAACGAGCGCAA